GAGACGCUAAGAGGGAGGGCGAAACUGAUACAAACAAGCUGCCCCCUUUCCUAAGUGCGGAUGCUGCCAGCCUCCAGGGCCAAGAAGCGGAAGCUCGGUGGAGGGAAAUGAGACCGCACAGCCACGAGACCGUUAAGUGUUCCCAGAACACACGAUGCUCCCAAAUAAAUGUGUCUCCAACAUUAUAACACCACAAUA
Long non-coding RNA from Peromyscus eremicus (cactus mouse), 198 nucleotides. RefSeq lists it as uncharacterized. The transcript is spliced from 2 exons. Lineage: Eukaryota; Metazoa; Chordata; Mammalia; Rodentia; Cricetidae. The record is from RefSeq and is a predicted model, not a curated record.